Molecule: long non-coding RNA, 3758 nt
Organism: Oncorhynchus kisutch (coho salmon)
Lineage: Eukaryota; Metazoa; Chordata; Actinopteri; Salmoniformes; Salmonidae
Exons: 3
Source: RefSeq, a predicted model, not a curated record
CUGACCCCUAACCUAACUAAACUGAGAUGGUGAGGUAACCCCUGACCUAACUAUACUGAGAUGGAGAGGUAACUCCUGACCCCUAACCUAACUAUACUGAGAUGUAGAGGUAACCCCUGAACCCUGACCUAACUAUACUGAGAUGGCGAGGUAAGCCCUGACUCCCAACCUAACUAUACUGAGAUGGAGCGGUAACCCCUGACCCCUGACCUAACUAUACUGAGAUGGUGAGGUAACCCCUGACCCCUAACCUAACUAAACUGAGAUGGUGAGGUAACCCCUGACCCCUAACCUAACUAAACUGAGAUGGUGAGGUAACCCCUGACCCCUAACCUAACUAAACUGAGAUGGUGAGGUAACCCCUGACCUAACUAUACUGAGAUGGAGAGGUAACUCCUGACCCCUAACCUAACUAUACUGAGAUGUAGAGGUAACCCCUGAACCCUGACCUAACUAUACUGAGAUGGCGAGGUAAGCCCUGACUCCCAACCUAACUAUACUGAGAUGGUGAGGUAACCCCUGACCCCUAACCUAACUAAACUGAGAUGGUGAGGUAACCCCUGACCUAACUAUACUGAGAUGGCGAGGUAAGCCCCCACUCCCAACCUGACUAUACUGAGAUGAAGAACUAACCCCUGACCCCUAACCAAACUAUACUGAGAUGGAGCGGUAACCCCUGACCCCUGACCUAACUAUACUGAGAUGGAGAGGUAACUCCUGACCCCUAACCUAACUAUACUGAGAUGGAGAGGUAACCCCUGACCCCUGACCUAACUAUACUGAGAUGGAGAGAUAUCUCCUGACUCCUGACCUAACUAUUCUGAGAUGGAGAGGUAACCCCUGACCCCUGACCUAACUCUCCUGAGAUGGAGAGGUAACCCCUGACCUAACUAUACUGAGAUGGAGAGGUAACCCCUGACCUAACUAUACUGAGAUGGAGCAGUAACCCCUGACCCCUGACCUAACUAUACUGAGAUGGAGCGGUAACCCCUGACCCCUGACCUAACUAUACUGAGAUGGAGAGAUAUCUCCUGACUCCUGACCUAACUAUUCUGAGAUGGAGAGGUAACCCCUGACCCCUGACCUAACUCUCCUGAGAUGGAAAGGUAACCCCUGAUCCCUAGCCAAAAUAUACUGAGAUGGAAAGGUAACCCUUGACCCCUGAUCUAACUGAUCUAACUAUACUGAGAUGAAGAACUAACCCCUGACCCCUAACCAAACUAUACUGAGAUAGAAAGGUAACCCUUGACCCCUAAUCUAACAAAAUACUUAGAUGGAGAGGUAACCCCUGACCCCUGACCUAACUAUACUGAGAUGGAGAGGUAACCUCUGACCCCUGACCUAACUAUACUGAGAUGGCGAGGUAAGCCCCCACUUCCAACCUGACUAUACUGAGAUGGAGCGGUAACCCGUAACCCCUGACCUAACUAUACUGAGAUGGUGAGGUAACCCCUGACCCCUAACCUAACUAAACUGAGAUGGUGAGGUAACCCCUGACCUAACUAUACUGAGAUGGAGAGGUAACCCCUGACCCCUGACGUAACUAUACUGAGAUGGAGAGGUAACCUCUGACCCCUAACCUAGCUCUACUGAAAUGGAAAGGUAACCCUUGACCCCUAAUCUAACAAAAUGCUGAGAUGGAGAGGUUACCCCUGACCCCUAACCAAACUAUACUGAGAUGGAGCGGUAACCCCUGACCUAACUAUACUGAUAUUGGGAGGUAACCCCUGACCUAACUAUACUGAGAUGGAGAGGUAACCCUUGACCCCUAAUCUACCUAUACUGAGAUGGAGAGGUAACCCCUGACCCCUAACCUAACUAUACUGAGAUGGAGAGGUAACCCCUGACCUAACUAUACUGAGAUUGGGAGGUAACCCCUGACCCCUGACCUAACUAUACUGAGAUGGAGCGGUAAACCCUGACCUCUAACCUAACUAUACGGAGAUGUAGAGGUAACCCCUGACCUAACGAUAGUGAGAUGGUGAGGUAACCCCUGACCUAACGAUAGUGAGAUGGUGAGGUAACCCGUGACCCCUAACCUAACUAUACUGAGAUGGAGAGGUAACUCCUGACCCCUAAUCUAACUAUACUGAGAUGGAAAGGUAACCCCUGACCCCUAACCUAACUAUACUGAGAUGGAGAGGUAACCCCUGAUUUAACUAUACUGAGAUGGAGAGGUAACCCUUGAACCCUAACCUAACUAUACUGAGAUGGAAAGGUAACCCUUGACCCCUAAUCUAACAAAAUACUGAGAUGGAGAGGUAACCCUUGACCCCUAACCUAACUAUACUGAGAUGGAUAGGUAACCCUUGACCCCUAAUCUAACAAAAUACUGAGAUGGAGAGGUAACCCCUGACCUAACUAUACUGAGAUGGAGAGGUAACCCCUGACCUAACUAUACUGAGAUGGAGAGGUAACUCCUGACCCCUAAUCUAACUAUACUGAGAUGGAGAGGUAACCCUUGAACCCUAACCUAACUAUACUGAGAUGGAAAGGUAACCCUUGACCCCUAAUCUAACAAAAUACUGAGAUGGAGAGGUAACCCCUGACCUAAUUAUACUGAGGUUGAAAGGUAACCCUGACCCCUAACCAAACUAUCCUGAGAUGGAAAGGUAUCUCCUGACCCCUGACCUAACUAUACUGAGAUGGAGUGCUAACUCCUGACCCCUGACCUAACUAUACUGAGAUGGAGCGGUAACCCCUGACCUAACUAUACUGAGAUGGAGAGGUAACCCCUGACCCCUGACCUAACUAUACUGAGAUGGAGCGGUAACCCCUGACCCCUAAUCUAACUAUACUGAGAUGGAGAGGUAACCCCUGAUGUAACUAUACUGAGAUGGAGAGGUAACCCUUGAACCCUAACCUAACUAUACUGAGAUGGAAAGGUAACCCUUGACCCCUAAUCUAACAAAAUACUGAGAUGGAGAGGUAACCCUUGACCCCUAACCUAACUAUACUGAGAUGGAAAGGUAACCCCUGACCCCUGACCUAACUAUACUGAGAUGGAGAGAUAUCUCCUGACUCCUGACCUAACUAUUCUGAGAUGGAGCGGUAACCCCUGACCCCUGACCUAACUAUACUGAGAUGGAGAGGUAACCCCUGACCCCUGACCUAAGUAUACUGAGAUGGGGUGGUAACUCCUGACCCCUGACCUAACUAUACUGAGGUGGUGAGGUAACCCGUGACCCCUAACCUAACUAUACUGAGAUGGAGAGGUAACUCCUGACCCCUAAUCUAACUAUACUGAGAUGGAAAGGUAACCCCUGACCCCUAACCUAACUAUACUGAGAUGGAGAGGUAACCCCUGAUGUAACUAUACUGAGAUGGAGAGGUAACCCUUGAACCCUAACCUAACUAUACUGAGAUGGAAAGGUAACCCUUGACCCCUAAUCUAACAAAAUACUGAGAUGGAGAGGUAACCCUUGAACCCUAACCUAACUAUACUGAGAUGGAAAGGUAACCCUUGACCCCUAAUCUAACAAAAUACUGAGAUGGAGAGGUAACCCUUGACCCCUAACCUAACUAUACUGAGAUGGAUAGGUAACCCUUGACCCCUAAUCUAACAAAAUACUGAGAUGGAGAGGUAACCCCUGACCUAAUUAUACUGAGGUUGAAAGGUAACCCUUGACCCCUAACCAAACUAUCCUGAGAUGGAAAGGUAUCUCCUGACCCCUGACCUAACUAUACUGAGAUGGAGAGGUAACUCCUGACUCCUAACCUAACUAUACUGAGAUGGAGCGGUAACCCCUGACCUAACU